Molecule: ribosomal RNA, 223 nt
Filed under: uncultured bacterium
Lineage: Bacteria
Description: partial 16S ribosomal RNA
Rfam family: Bacterial small subunit ribosomal RNA
Source: RNAcentral
CGGACGGGUGAGUAACGCGUAGGUAUCUAUCCUUGGGUGGGGGGACAACGGUUGGAAACGACUGCUAAUACCGCAUGAAGACUGAGGUCUAAAGCUCGCGAGAGCGCCUGAGGAGGAGCCUGCGUACGAUUAGCUAGUUGGUGGGGUAAAGGCCUACCAAGGCGACGAUCGUUAGCUGGUCUGAGAGGAUGAUCAGCCACAUCGGGACUGAGACACGGCCCAA